AUUGAACGCUGGCGGCAGGCCUAACACAUGCAAGUCGAGCGGAUGAAGGGAGCUUGCUCCUGGAUUCAGCGGCGGACGGGUGAGUAAUGCCUAGGAAUCUGCCUGGUAGUGGGGGAUAACGUCCGGAAACGGGCGCUAAUACCGCAUACGUCCUGAGGGAGAAAGUGGGGGAUCUUCGGACCUCACGCUAUCAGAUGAGCCUAGGUCGGAUUAGCUAGUUGGUGGGGUAAAGGCCUACCAAGGCGACGAUCCGUAACUGGUCUGGGAGGAUGAUCAGUCAAACUGGAAAUGAGACACGGUCCAAACUCCUUCGGGAGGGAGCCGUGGGGAAUAGUUGAAAAUUGGCGAAAACCUGAUCCAAGCAAUCCGCGUGUGUGAAGAAGGGUUUCGGAUUGUAAAGCACUUUAAGUUGGGAGGAAGGGCAGUAAGUUAAUACCUUGCUGUUUUGACGUUACCAACAGAAUAAGCACCGGCUAACUUCGUG
This 484-nucleotide ribosomal RNA is filed under the name uncultured bacterium. Its description in RNAcentral is "partial 16S ribosomal RNA". It matches the Rfam family "Bacterial small subunit ribosomal RNA", at positions 30 to 507 of the family's 1533-position model. The record is from RNAcentral.